This 253-nucleotide ribosomal RNA is filed under the name uncultured bacterium. RNAcentral describes it as "partial 16S ribosomal RNA". It matches the Rfam family "Bacterial small subunit ribosomal RNA", at positions 524 to 776 of the family's 1533-position model. The record is from RNAcentral.
UACGGAGGGUGCGAGCGUUAAUCGGAAUAACUGGGCGUAAAGGGCACGCAGGCGGGUUUUUAAGUGAGGUGUGAAAUCCCCGGGCUUAACCUGGGAAUAGCAUUUCAGACUGGGAGGCUUGAGUACUGUAGGGGGGGGUAGAAUUCCAGGUGUAGCGGUGAAAUGCGUAGAGAUGUGGAGGAAUACCGAAGGCGAAGGCAGCCCCUUGGGAAUGUACUGACGCUCAGGUGCGAAAGCGUGGGGAGCAAACAGG